This 253-nucleotide ribosomal RNA is filed under the name uncultured bacterium. Its description in RNAcentral is "partial 16S ribosomal RNA". It matches the Rfam family "Bacterial small subunit ribosomal RNA", at positions 524 to 776 of the family's 1533-position model. The record is from RNAcentral.
UACGAAGGGGGCUAGCGUUGUUCGGAAUUACUGGGCGUAAAGCGCACGUAGGCGGAUAUUUAAGUCAGGGGUGAAAUCCCGGGGCUCAACCCCGGAACUGCCUUUGAUACUGGGUAUCUCGAGUCCGAGAGAGGUGAGUGGAAUUCCGAGUGUAGAGGUGAAAUUCGUAGAUAUUCGGAGGAACACCAGUGGCGAAGGCGGCUCACCGGCUCGGUACUGACGCUGAGGUGCGAAAGCGUGGGGAGCAAACAGG